This 924-nucleotide ribosomal RNA is filed under the name Atheta graminicola. Its description in RNAcentral is "SSU rRNA". It matches the Rfam family "Eukaryotic small subunit ribosomal RNA", at positions 439 to 1292 of the family's 1831-position model. The record is from RNAcentral. Lineage: Eukaryota; Metazoa; Arthropoda; Insecta; Coleoptera; Staphylinidae.
AAUUACCCACUCCCAGCACGGGGAGGUAGUGACGAAAAAUAACGAUACGGGACUCAUCCGAGGCCCCGUAAUCGGAAUGAGUAUACUUUAAAACUUUUCCCGAGGAUCAAUUGGAGGGUAAGUCUGGUGCCAGCAGCCGCGGUAAUUCCAGCUCCAAUAGCGUAUAUUAAAGUUGUUGCGGUUAAAAAGCUCGUAGUCGAAUCUGUGUCCCGCGCCGCUGGUUCAUCGCUCGCGGUGUUCAACUGGCGUGUCUCGCGGGACGUCCUGCCGGUGGGCGCUCGUAUCGUUUCGGCGGUGCGUGGCCCAACUCGUAGCCGUCUCGCGCGGUUGCGAAUCCCAUCGCGGUGCUCUUUAUUGAGUGUCGAGGUGGGCCGGCACGUUUACUUUGAACAAAUUAGAGUGCUUAAAGCAGGCCAAUUUUGCCUGAAUAUUGUGUGCAUGGAAUAAUAGAAUAGGACCUCGGUUCUAUUUUGUUGGUUUUCGGAACCCCGAGGUAAUGAUUAAUAGGAACGGAUGGGGGCAUUCGUAUUGCGACGUUAGAGGUGAAAUUCUUGGAUCGUCGCAAGACGGACAGAAGCGAAAGCAUUUGCCAAAAACGCUUUCAUUGAUCAAGAACGAAAGUUAGAGGUUCGAAGGCGAUCAGAUACCGCCCUAGUUCUAACCAUAAACGAUGCCAGCUAGCGAUCCGCCGACGUUCCUCCGAUGACUCGGCGGGCAGCUUCCGGGAAACCAAAGCUUUUGGGUUCCGGGGGAAGUAUGGUUGCAAAGCUGAAACUUAAAGGAAUUGACGGAAGGGCACCACCAGGAGUGGAGCCUGCGGCUUAAUUUGACUCAACACGGGACACCUUACCAGGCCCGGACACCGGAAGGAUUGACAGAUUGAGAGCUCUUUCUUGAUUCGGUGGGUGGUGGUGCAUGGCCGUU